CUACGUGCCAGCAGCCGCGGUAAUACGUAGGGUGCAAGCGUUAAUCGGAAUUACUGGGCGUAAAGCGAGCGCAGACGGUUACUUAAGCAGGAUGUGAAAUCCCCGGGCUCAACCUGGGAACUGCGUUCUGAACUGGGUGACUAGAGUGUGUCAGAGGGAGGUAGAAUUCCACGUGUAGCAGUGAAAUGCGUAGAGAUGUGGAGGAAUACCGAUGGCGAAGGCAGCCUCCUGGGAUAACACUGACGUUCAUGCUCGAAAGCGUGGGUAGCAAACAGGAUUAGAUACCCUGGUAGUCCACGCCCUAAACGAUGUCAAUUAGCUGUUGGGCAACUUGAUUGCUUAGUAGCGUAGCUAACGCGUGAAAUUGACCGCCUGGGGAGUACGCCGGCAACGGUGAAACUCAAAGGAAUUGACGGGGGCCCGCACAAGCGGAGGAACAUGUGGUUUAAUUCGAUGAUACGCGAGGAACCUUACCCGGGCUUGAAC
RNAcentral lists this ribosomal RNA (486 nucleotides) under uncultured bacterium. Its description in RNAcentral is "bacterial SSU rRNA". It matches the Rfam family "Bacterial small subunit ribosomal RNA", at positions 501 to 986 of the family's 1533-position model. The record is from RNAcentral.